This 253-nucleotide ribosomal RNA is filed under the name uncultured bacterium. RNAcentral's name for it is "partial 16S ribosomal RNA". It matches the Rfam family "Bacterial small subunit ribosomal RNA", at positions 524 to 776 of the family's 1533-position model. The record is from RNAcentral.
UACGGAGGGUGCAAGCGUUAUCCGGAUUCACUGGGUUUAAAGGGCGCGUAGGCGGGCGGCCAAGUCAGAGGUGAAAGCCCCCAGCUCAACUGGGGAAGUGCCUUUGAUACUGGUCGUCUCGAGGGAGAUAGGGGCGUGCGGAACUUCCGGUGGAGCGGUGAAAUGCGUAGAUAUCGGAAGGAACACCGGUGGCGAAAGCGGCGCGCUGGAUCUCUUCUGACGCUGAGGCGCGAAAGCCAGGGGAGCGAACGGG